Molecule: ribosomal RNA, 257 nt
Filed under: uncultured soil bacterium
Lineage: Bacteria
Description: partial 16S ribosomal RNA
Rfam family: Bacterial small subunit ribosomal RNA
Source: RNAcentral
AGAUUGAACGCUGGCGGAAUGCUUUACACAUGCAAGUCGAGCGGCAGCGCGGGGGCAACCUGGCGGCGAGCGGCGAACGGGUGAGUAAUGCAUCGGAACAUGUCCAUGUCGUGGGGGAUAGCCCGGCGAAAGCCGGAUUAAUACCGCAUACGCCGAGAGGGGAAAGUGGGGGACCGCAAGGCCUCACGCGAUUGGGGUUGCCGAUGUCCGAUUAGCUAGUUGGACGGGGUAAAGCCCACCAAGGCGAUGAUCGGUAG